This 423-nucleotide ribosomal RNA is filed under the name Verrucomicrobiota bacterium. RNAcentral describes it as "Verrucomicrobia bacterium partial 16S ribosomal RNA". It matches the Rfam family "Bacterial small subunit ribosomal RNA", at positions 355 to 776 of the family's 1533-position model. Lineage: Bacteria; Pseudomonadati; Verrucomicrobiota. The record is from RNAcentral.
UGAGGAAUAUUGGUCAAUGGGCGAGAGCCUGAACCAGCCAAGUAGCGUGCAGGAAGACGGCCCUAUGGGUUGUAAACUGCUUUUAUGUGGGGAUAAAGUGCGUGACGUGUCAUGCAUUGCAGGUACCACAUGAAUAAGGACCGGCUAAUUCCGUGCCAGCAGCCGCGGUAAUACGGAAGGUCCGGGCGUUAUCCGGAUUUAUUGGGUUUAAAGGGAGCGUAGGCUGUGCAUCAAGUCAGCGGUAAAAUCUCGGGGCUCAACCCCGUUUAGCCGUUGAAACUGGUGUGCUGGAGUGUGCGCGAGGAAGGCGGAAUGCGCGGUGUAGCGGUGAAAUGCAUAGAUAUUGCGCAGAACUCCGAUUGCGAAGGCAGCCUUCCAGUGCAUGACUGACGCUGAGGCACGAAAGCGUGGGUAUCGAACAGG